This 492-nucleotide ribosomal RNA is filed under the name uncultured bacterium. RNAcentral describes it as "partial 16S ribosomal RNA". It matches the Rfam family "Bacterial small subunit ribosomal RNA", at positions 29 to 507 of the family's 1533-position model. The record is from RNAcentral.
AGUGAACGCUGGCGGUAGGCCUAACACAUGCAAGUCGAACGGCAGCACAGUAAGAGCUUGCUCUUACGGGUGGCGAGUGGCGGACGGGUGAGGAAUACAUCGGAAUCUACUUUUUCGUGGGGGAUAACGUAGGGAAACUUACGCUAAUACCGCAUACGACCUACGGGUGAAAGCAGGGGAUCUUCGGACCUUGCGCGAUUGAAUGAGCCGAUGUCGGAUUAGCUAGUUGGCGGGGUAAAGGCCCACCAAGGCGACGAUCCGUAGCUGGUCUGAGAGGAUGAUCAGCCACACGGGAACUGAGACACGGACCAGACUCCUACGGGAGGCAGCAGUGGGGAAUAUUGGACAAUGGGCGCAAGCCUGAUCCAGCCAUACCGCGUGGGUGAAGAAGGCCUUCGGGUUGUAAAGCCCUUUUGUUGGGAAAGAAAAGCAGCAGGUUAAUACCCCGCUGUUCUGACGGUACCCAAAGAAUAAGCACCGGCUAACUUCGUG